AUACGGAAGGCCCGGGCGUUAUCCGGAUUUAUUGGGUUUAAAGGGAGCGCAGGCGGAGAUGCAAGCGUGACGUCAAAUUUCGGGGCUCAACCCCGUCUCGCGUCGCGAACUGCGUCCCUUGGUUGCGGGAAGGGGAGGCGGAACUCGUGGUGUAGCGGUGAAAUGCAUAGAUAUCACGAAGAACUCCGAUCGCGAAGGCAGCCUUCCGGCCCGUCAACGACGCUCAUGCUCGAAGGUGCGGGUAUCAAACAGGAUUAGAUACCCUGGUAGUCCGCACAGUAAACGAUGGACACCCGCGGUUUGGCCUAUAUGGCUGAGCCGCCAAGCGAAAGCGUUAAGUGUCCCACCUGGGGAGUACGCCGGCAACGGUGAAACUCAAAGGAAUUGACGGGG
This 393-nucleotide ribosomal RNA is filed under the name uncultured bacterium. Its description in RNAcentral is "partial 16S ribosomal RNA". It matches the Rfam family "Bacterial small subunit ribosomal RNA", at positions 523 to 918 of the family's 1533-position model. The record is from RNAcentral.